Molecule: ribosomal RNA, 258 nt
Filed under: uncultured Gardnerella sp.
Lineage: Bacteria; Bacillati; Actinomycetota; Actinomycetes; Bifidobacteriales; Bifidobacteriaceae
Description: partial 16S ribosomal RNA
Rfam family: Bacterial small subunit ribosomal RNA
Source: RNAcentral
CGGAACGGGUGAGUAAUGCGUGACCAACCUCGCCCCAUGCUCCAGAAUAGCUCUUGGAAACGGGUGGUAAUGCUGGAUGCUCCAACUUGACGCAUGUCUUGUUGGGAAAGUGUUUAGUGGCAUGGGAUGGGGUCGCGUCCUAUCAGCUUGUAGGCGGGGUAAUGGCCCACCUAGGCUUCGACGGGUAGCCGGCCUGAGAGGGCGGACGGCCACAUUGGGACUGAGAUACGGCCCAGACUCCUACGGGAGGCAGCAGCG